Molecule: ribosomal RNA, 253 nt
Filed under: uncultured bacterium
Lineage: Bacteria
Description: partial 16S ribosomal RNA
Rfam family: Bacterial small subunit ribosomal RNA
Source: RNAcentral
UACGAAGGGGGCUAGCGUUGUUCGGAAUUACUGGGCGUAAAGGGUGCGUAGGCGGAUAGUUUAGUCAGAGGUGAAAGCCCAGGGCUCAACCUUGGAAUUGCCUUUGAUACUGGCUAUCUUGAGUAUGGAAGAGGUAUGUGGAACUCCGAGUGUAGAGGUGAAAUUCGUAGAUAUUCGGAAGAACACCAGUGGCGAAGGCGACAUACUGGUCCAUUACUGACGCUGAGGCUCGAAAGCGUGGGGAGCAAACAGG